RNAcentral lists this ribosomal RNA (1504 nucleotides) under Helicobacter pylori. Its description in RNAcentral is "bacterial SSU rRNA". It matches the Rfam family "Bacterial small subunit ribosomal RNA". Lineage: Bacteria; Pseudomonadati; Campylobacterota; Epsilonproteobacteria; Campylobacterales; Helicobacteraceae. The record is from RNAcentral.
UUUAUGGAGAGUUUGAUCCUGGCUCAGAGUGAACGCUGGCGGCGUGCCUAAUACAUGCAAGUCGAACGAUGAAGCUUCUAGCUUGCUAGAAUGCUGAUUAGUGGCGCACGGGUGAGUAACGCAUAGGUCAUGUGCCUCUUAGUUUGGGAUAGCCAUUGGAAACGAUGAUUAAUACCAGAUACUCCCUACGGGGGAAAGAUUUAUCGCUAAGAGAUCAGCCUAUGUCCUAUCAGCUUGUUGGUAAGGUAAUGGCUUACCAAGGCUAUGACGGGUAUCCGGCCUGAGAGGGUGAACGGACACACUGGAACUGAGACACGGUCCAGACUCCUACGGGAGGCAGCAGUAGGGAAUAUUGCUCAAUGGGGGAAACCCUGAAGCAGCAACGCCGCGUGGAGGAUGAAGGUUUUAGGAUUGUAAACUCCUUUUGUUAGAGAAGAUAAUGACGGUAUCUAACGAAUAAGCACCGGCUAACUCCGUGCCAGCAGCCGCGGUAAUACGGAGGGUGCAAGCGUUACUCGGAAUCACUGGGCGUAAAGAGCGCGUAGGCGGGAUAGUCAGUCAGGUGUGAAAUCCUAUGGCUUAACCAUAGAACUGCAUUUGAAACUACUAUUCUAGAGUGUGGGAGAGGUAGGUGGAAUUCUUGGUGUAGGGGUAAAAUCCGUAGAGAUCAAGAGGAAUACUCAUUGCGAAGGCGACCUGCUGGAACAUUACUGACGCUGAUUGCGCGAAAGCGUGGGGAGCAAACAGGAUUAGAUACCCUGGUAGUCCACGCCCUAAACGAUGGAUGCUAGUUGUUGGAGGGCUUAGUCUCUCCAGUAAUGCAGCUAACGCAUUAAGCAUCCCGCCUGGGGAGUACGGUCGCAAGAUUAAAACUCAAAGGAAUAGACGGGGACCCGCACAAGCGGUGGAGCAUGUGGUUUAAUUCGAAGAUACACGAAGAACCUUACCUAGGCUUGACAUUGAGAGAAUCCGCUAGAAAUAGUGGAGUGUCUAGCUUGCUAGACCUUGAAAACAGGUGCUGCACGGCUGUCGUCAGCUCGUGUCGUGAGAUGUUGGGUUAAGUCCCGCAACGAGCGCAACCCCCUUUCUUAGUUGCUAACAGGUCAUGCUGAGAACUCUAAGGAUACUGCCUCCGUAAGGAGGAGGAAGGUGGGGACGACGUCAAGUCAUCAUGGCCCUUACGCCUAGGGCUACACACGUGCUACAAUGGGGUGCACAAAGAGAAGCAAUACUGCGAAGUGGAGCCAAUCUUCAAAACACCUCUCAGUUCGGAUUGUAGGCUGCAACUCGCCUGCAUGAAGCUGGAAUCGCUAGUAAUCGCAAAUCAGCCAUGUUGCGGUGAAUACGUUCCCGGGUCUUGUACUCACCGCCCGUCACACCAUGGGAGUUGUGUUUGCCUUAAGUCAGGAUGCUAAAUUGGCUACUGCCCACGGCACACACAGCGACUGGGGUGAAGUCGUAACAAGGUAACCGUAGGUGAACCUGCGGUUGGAUCACCUCCUUU